Molecule: ribosomal RNA, 711 nt
Filed under: Chapsa sp. MD-2020c
Lineage: Eukaryota; Fungi; Ascomycota; Lecanoromycetes; Ostropales; Graphidaceae
Description: SSU rRNA
Rfam family: Bacterial small subunit ribosomal RNA
Source: RNAcentral
AUGUGAUGUACCUAGUAAUAUUAGUGAUUAAUAUGAGAUUAACUAAGUUAAUUAAAAUUCAAAGUAGAUUUUGAUUAUGACAGAAUUUGCUUAUGUCUUGACCAAGUCACGUGCCAGCAGUCGCGGUAAUACGUGGAAGAUAAGCGUUAUUCAUGUUUAACAGGUUUAAAGGGUACCUAGACGGUUAAUUAAACAUAAAAAUUGAAUUAAUUAACUAGAGUUUAAUGUAAGAAAGAUUGAGUACGGUGAGUGUAGUGAUAUAAUACUAUGACACAGCUUUGGAACUGGUAAAGGCGAAGGCAACUUUCUAUGUAAAAACUGACGUUAAGGGACGAAGGCUCGUGUUAAAAAACAGGAUUAGAUAACCUGGUAUUUCGGGCAGAAAAUGAUGAGUGUCAUAUGCAAGACAAAAAGGUAAUAAAAAUUAAAAACCUUUAUUUUUUUUUGUGUAUAAAUGAAAGUGUAAGCACUCCACCUCAAGAGUAACGUGGCAACAUGGGAACUGAAAUCAUUAGACCGCUUCUGAAACUCGUAGUGAAGUAUGUUGUUUAAUUUGAUAACCCUCAAACAACCUUACCACAAUUUGUAUUACUAUUAUAUGUAGUAACAAGCGUUGCACGGCUGUCUUCAGUCAAUGUUGUGAAACUAUGGUUAGAUCCAUGAAAUUGACGUAAACCCUUGCUUUAUUUGAUAGAAAGGAAGCUCGCCGAG